Molecule: transfer RNA, 84 nt
Filed under: bacterium
Lineage: Bacteria
Description: tRNA-Leu
Rfam family: tRNA
About the family: Transfer RNA (tRNA) molecules are approximately 80 nucleotides in length. Their secondary structure includes four short double-helical elements and three loops (D, anti-codon, and T loops).
Source: RNAcentral
GCCCUCGUGGAGGAACUGGCAGACUCGCAUCCUUGAGGUGGAUGUGCUCGCAAGAGCGUGUGGGUUCAACUCCCACCGAGGGCA